GAGCGGAAAGGCCCUUCGGGGUACUCGAGCGGCGAACGGGUGAGUAACACGUGAGUAACCUGCCCUUGGCUCUGGGAUAAGCCCGGGAAACUGGGUCUAAUACCGGAUACGACCAUUGGAUGCAUGUCUGGUGGUGGAAAGUUUUUCGGCCGAGGAUGGGCUCGCGGUCUAUCAGCUUGUUGGUGGGGUGAUGGCCUACCAAGGCGACGACGGGUAGCCGGCCUGAGAGGGUGACCGGCCACACUGGGACUGAGACACGGCCCAGACUCCUACGGGAGGCAGCAGUGGGGAAUAUUGCGCAAUGGGCGGAAGCCUGACGCAGCGACGCCGCGUGGGGGAUGAAGGCCUUCGGGUUGUAAACCUCUUUCACCACCGACGAAGCUAACGUGACGGUAGGUGGGGAAGAAGCGCCGGCUAACUACGUGCCAGCAGCCGCGGUAAU
This 442-nucleotide ribosomal RNA is filed under the name uncultured bacterium. Its description in RNAcentral is "bacterial SSU rRNA". It matches the Rfam family "Bacterial small subunit ribosomal RNA", at positions 64 to 524 of the family's 1533-position model. The record is from RNAcentral.